GGUGGUGGUAACUGUUUCAGACAAAGUGCUUUAUCAAGUAAUAAAGUAGUGUCUAUACUGAGUGAGUGAGGCAGGCAUCGAGUGAGUGAGGCAGGCAUCGAGUGAAUGAGGCAGGCAGGCAUCGAGUGAAUGAGGCAGGCAGGCAUCGAGUGAAUGAGGCAGGCAGGCAGUGAGUUAGUGAGUGAGGCAGGCAGUGAGUUAGUGAGUGAGGCAGGCAGUGAGUUAGUGAGUGAGGCAGGCAGUGAGUUAGUGAGUGAGGCAGGCAGUGAGUUAGUGAGUGAGGCAGGCAGUGAGUUAGUGAGUGAGGCAGGCAGUGAGUGAGUGAGUGAGGCAGUGAGUGAGUGAGGCAGGCAGGCAUCGAGUGAGUGAGGCAGGCAGGCAGUGAGUGAGUGAGGCAGGCAGUGAGUGAGGCAGGCAGGCAGUGAGUGAGGCAGGCAGGCAGUGAGUGAGGCAGGCAGUGAGUGAGGCAGGCAGUGAGUGAGGCAGGCAGUGAGUGAGGCAGGCAGUGAGUGAGGCAGGCAGUGAGUGAGUGAGGCAGGCAGGCAGGCAUCGAGUGAGUGAGUGAGGCAGGCAGGCAGGCA
Ictalurus punctatus (channel catfish) is the source of this 581-nucleotide long non-coding RNA. The record is from Ensembl. NCBI's taxonomy places the organism in Eukaryota, Metazoa, Chordata, Actinopteri, Siluriformes, Ictaluridae.